Long non-coding RNA from Lethenteron reissneri (Far Eastern brook lamprey), 430 nucleotides. RefSeq lists it as uncharacterized. NCBI's taxonomy places the organism in Eukaryota, Metazoa, Chordata, Hyperoartia, Petromyzontiformes, Petromyzontidae. The record is from RefSeq and is a predicted model, not a curated record.
UUUCUCUCUCCCUCUCUGUACUGUCUCAUUUACAUGAACAGCGCGUCCAGCCCAGGAUGCACGCGCAGCCUUGGCGUGUAGCCACUGGAGCCGUUAUGCCGUGUACACAGGCACAGGGUUGGUGGAUCACGCAGAGAUCAGCGCGUGUGUACUGCGAGACUCCAACACCCCCCGCUGCGAGAUUACGAAGAGACGGCGGUACAGCAAGAGCUGGGGCACGGGAGGCGUCCCGUGCGAACAGUACCAACGAGGAGAGAUGGAGCGAUGGAAUGAGAUCGUGCGCGGGUGCUAGGGGUGGAUUGUCAGGAUCGCAGAACGGUGCGUGACGUCAUUUAUGGACGGCCCCAAAGACAGAAACAUCUCAUUCUGACUUAAUCAGAGGCUCGUCACACCCCCUGUCGGUCGGAGGAAUCUUCUUGGUUCUUUCGGU